GAAAGCCGCACACCGUGCCAUGCAAGGUUACCGGCAAGUGUGGAUCCGUGACAGUGAGAAUGGUGCCGGCUCCACGUGGUGCUGGGAUUGUCGCUGCACGAGUCCCCAAAAAGGUUCUGCAGUUUGCUGGGAUAGAGGACGUUUUCACCUCCUCCAGGGGCUCCACCAAGACACUUGGAAAUUUCGUGAAGGUCUGUUAAUUUCAUUUUGCCUUUUCAAAUACUGGGAUUAGUUAUUUAUAUACAUUACAUGAGAUUGAUACCUUUAGAAGAGAGAAUCAGCUAUGUUGAUCUGUCGGUGAUUUUUAUUCGAUUUUUUUUUUAUGUUGUUCACUUGGUUUAGCAUUAUAAAUUGCCUAGUUGAUUCAUCCCUUAUUGAAAUGAGAGUAGCUGAAUUUGUUAUUACUUUUUUCAUUCUAACAUAGUACUGAUUUUUUUUUCUGGAGUUAGUAAGGAGGUUUAAAUUCAUUUCUAAUUUGACGUAGUUACGUUGUUUGUUCUGUUCUUAUUUAAGCUUAUAUUUAUAAUUUUGUAUUGUUUAAUUGUUGAAAAUUGCUGAAAGUUCUGAAAUUAAUAGUUCUUGUUUUUUGGUUAGAAAGAAAUGAACUUUGAGUUUUUAUUUUCAUCAGUAUAAAUUAUGUUAUAGUAAUUUAUUCGUUCGCUAAUGAUUUAUUUUGCUUGCUUGUUUUGUAGUGCUCACUUGAAUUAUACAUGAUCCUGCAAUGCUUUUCAUUAUUAUUAUUAUUAUUAAUUUAUUGAAGGUGCAAAUUCUUGUAGUUUUACCUUAACCCAGUAAAUUUUACUACCCAUAUGGAUUUGCCAAGUCUUCUUUUUGCCGGAUAAUCCUGAAUGUCCCUUGCUCUGGAUAACUGUGCUGUUAAUUGUUGGUUGUAAUCCUUUUUAUGGAGGUAAAACGAUAUUUUCUGUCUUGCUGAUGUUAAGGAAAAAAAAACAAAGUGUGUUCUUUUUGGUGUUUGUGAUGGAAUAGGUAUUUUUCUUCACAAUGAUAAAUGAUGCAAUGGUUCUUCCUUUGAAUAAUUACAUUGCUUAUGUGCUUGUUAUUUGUUGGUUUCAUUCAUCUAAGUGCCAUGUCAAAUGCAGGCCACCUUUGAUUGUCUCCUGAAAACCUAUGGAUUCUUGACUCCUGACUUUUGGAGGGAGACCCGCUUCACCAGGUCUCCUUUCCAGGAGUACACUGAUUUACUGGGGAAACCAACUAAAGUCCUAAUUGAAGAUGCAGAGAAAAUUGAAGCUUAAUGCAGAAAAGCCAGUCUUGAGUUGUUGAUGAUGAGAAUAUAUGGCCAAGAAUUUCAUGUUAAUCUCGCUUAGUAGGUUCUCAAAAACUAUAAGAAAUGUUAAUUUUGUUUGUGGUUAUGUUGGAGAUUUUUGGAUUUAGUAAUAUCUUUUGCUGUUUUGAUCACUUGUCAAAUGGAUUGGAUUGUUUUGUUUUCAACUGCUGUAUAUCUGAUACUGAGGGCAUCCCUCGUAAGUAUUCUUUCAGGGUAGCGGUAAUGUUCAAUGAAAUAUGUAAGGACUCUAGAAGGAUGGGCUUUUUUAGGAGUAGAGGGACAACUCUUCUUUAUGCUAUGGUUUUUACAAUGGUAAAUUACAGAACAAGUAGUAAUUACUCUAUAACGCUACAUGUAUAAAUAUAAAAGUAUUAAAAUUUUAAACUCCGUUGAUACAAUGGGCAAAUAAAAUUUCAACAAAGUAUAGAAGAAGUUAUUGAUGAUGGGGAUAAUGCCAAAAUCUCAAAUUUUGUCAACUUUUUACAAUUCUACAUUUUAUGUUUUUUUUAAAACAAAAGUACUCUAAAUUAAUAAUUUAUUUGCAAUUUUACUUAAAUACUAGCAAAAUAGUGUUAUGUUAGCAUUUUAAUCUCUGUUAAAUGGGGUAUAAUUGUAAAUAAAUCAAUAAAAUCAUUGUAUUUUUAUUAAAAAAAUGAUUAAAGAUAGAAUUAUAAAAUAUAGAAAAGUUUGAUAUUAUUUUUUGGACAUUUUUCCAUGAUAAUAUUAUAUACAGCGAAAGAAAAAACUACCUGUCUUGAUUUGGUUGAAAAUCCAUUUUAUUUUUAUUACUUUUCUGUUUAUUUUUUUUCAAAAUUAUUUAAAAUAUAGGAUUAUUUUUAUUUGGAUCCGGUGCUCUAAGUCUUUUUAUAUAAAAAAAAUUCAAAAAANNNNNNNNNNNNNNNNNNNAAAAAAAAAAAAAAAAAAAAAAAAAAACAUAAUCAACCCGAGUGUAGAUAUUUUUUUCCCUGGUAUUUUGUUGACUUGCUUAUCAAGGAGGACAAAUUGACCAUUACUUUUCAUCCAUUUGUAACUGUAGAUGUAAUGGGUUAACAGUUAUAAGUAUAGCAAUAAAUAUUGUUAAUUAUGUUUGAUAUUACCCUUAAUAUGCAUAUGCAUAUGAAUUUAUUUUAUGAUGUUGAUUUUGUAGAUUAAUAAAUAUUUUUGUUUAUAUAUUUGUUAAAAUAAAAAUGUUUAUGUCUAAAAAAAAAUAGAUAUAAUAGUCACAACUUGCUUACAAGAGUAAUACAUAUUCAAAAAAAUUCAUACUACAGGCCAUUAUUUCCUUCUUUUUUUCCUAUCAUUAUUUAUUUUCUCUUAGGUAAAUUCAUGUCAUGGGCCAUUACGACUUUCUGCUUAAGCCUAAUUUUAAUGCAAGUGAGGAGAAGAAGUAACUGACAUUACAUGGAUAACUCUCCAAACAAACAUAGCCUAAGAGAAGCCUGUUUUUGUAAUUUUUUAGGUAACGGGUCCAAAAAUAGCUACCCGUAACCCAAUAAAUUGGAUCCAACGUAAGCCCAAUUACGUAUCCUUUCCCAACAUUACACUAUGCAAAAACCCUACAAUAUAUAAAACCCUAUACCGCAGUUUAGCUUUCCUUCCACUCCCCAUCUCCGUCUCUCCCGAGCCCUAUCCCUCUUACCUUUAACCCUAACACUCACUACAAUAAUGGCCGACAGAGGCGCAGGAGAAAGAGGAGCUUUCCGCCGCGGCUUUGGCGGUGCCUCUCGUGGUGAUCGCGGAGGCAGAGGCCGCCGUCGUGCGCGCCGUGAGGAGGAGGAGAAGUGGGUUCCAGUCACUAAACUUGGCCGCUUGGUGAAGGAUGGCAAGAUCAGAAGUCUAGAGCAAAUUUACCUUCAUUCUCUCCCUAUCAAAGAGCAUCAGAUCAUCGAUACUCUCGUCGGUCCUUCCCUCAAGGAUGAGGUCAUGAAAAUCACUCCUGUGCAGAAACAAACUCGUGCCGGUCAGCGAACUCGGUUCAAGGCCUUUGUCGUCGUGGGGGACGGAAAUGGCCACGUUGGAUUGGGAGUGAAGUGCUCAAAGGAGGUUGCUACUGCCAUCCGUGGUGCCAUCAUAUUGGCCAAAUUAUCUGUAAUCCCUGUUAGGAGGGGUUAUUGGGGUAACAAGAUCGGAAAGCCACACACCGUGCCCUGCAAGGUCACCGGCAAGUGUGGAUCCGUGACUGUGAGAAUGGUGCCUGCACCACGUGGUGCUGGGAUUGUCGCAGCACGGGUUCCCAAGAAGGUUCUGCAGUUUGCUGGAAUAGAGGACGUUUUCACUUCUUCCAGGGGCUCCACCAAGACACUAGGAAAUUUCGUUAAGGUCUGUUUAUAUUCAUUUUUUGUUUUCGUUUUCGUUUUCAUAUACUGUGAACUAAUUGUUUAUAUUGAUUAUGUGGAGACGUGACCUACAGAAGAGCAAUUCUCCAUUUUAAUAAUUUAUUUUGUUUACUCAAUUUUUCUGAUAUUGUUGACAUUCUAAAUUUUCUAAUUGAGUCAUAGAUUAUUGAAAUGAGAUUAGCUUAAUUAGUUAUUACUUUCUUUAUAUCGCUACAAGUACCAGUUUUUUCUCCUGGAUUUAGGAAGGUGUUGUACUUUGUCCUGUUCUUCUACAGGCUUAUGUUAAUAUUUUUAUAUCCAUAAUUUCUAACUAUUCUGAAAUUAAUAGUGCUUGUUCGAAACGACGGAAUUUUGAAAAUUUUCAUUAUUUCUAAAGUAAAUUAGGGUCUAUUAAGUACUUUGUGAUUAAUUUGAAUGUUCUUUGUUAACUUUACCUUUUUGGUUAGAAAGCCCCGCGUUCAACCUGAUUUUGUAUGGCCUUUUUCAAAUUUGUUUUAUUUAUGGUGCAAUUUUUUUCCCCUUUUGCUAUAACCCAGUGUAUGCUAGUACCUAUGUGAGUUUGUUAAGUAGGAUUUGUACUCUUAUAGAGACAAUUGUGUUCCUUGCUGGAUAUCUGCAUUGUAAAUAACUGCACGCACACCUUUUUGUGGAAGCACUAAAAUAAUAUUCUUGUCUUGCUGAUGUAAAAAAUGCUCUUUUUUUUUGUGUGUGAUGUAUUAGGUAUUGUUUUCAUAGUGAUAAAUGAUGUGAUGCUUCUUCUUUUUUUUGGUUAAUUACAUCGGUUAUGCUGUUGUUACUUGUUGGUUUAAUUCAUCUAAAUGCUCUGUCAAAUGCAGGCCACUUUUGAUUGUCUCCUGAAAACCUAUGGAUUCUUGACUCCUGACUUUUGGAGGGAGACCCGCUUCACCAGGUCUCCUUUCCAGGAGUACACUGAUCUAUUGGGGAAACCAACUAAAGUCCUAAUUGAAGAUGCAGAGAAAAUCGAAG
RNAcentral lists this long non-coding RNA (4611 nucleotides) under Manihot esculenta (cassava). RNAcentral describes it as "long non-coding RNA (MESC_LNC003708)". Lineage: Eukaryota; Viridiplantae; Streptophyta; Magnoliopsida; Malpighiales; Euphorbiaceae. The record is from RNAcentral.